RNAcentral lists this transfer RNA (74 nucleotides) under Acidimicrobiaceae bacterium. Its description in RNAcentral is "tRNA-Pro". It matches the Rfam family "tRNA". From Rfam's summary of the family: Transfer RNA (tRNA) molecules are approximately 80 nucleotides in length. Their secondary structure includes four short double-helical elements and three loops (D, anti-codon, and T loops). The record is from RNAcentral. Lineage: Bacteria; Bacillati; Actinomycetota; Acidimicrobiia; Acidimicrobiales; Acidimicrobiaceae.
CUCGGUGUGGCGCAGUCUGGCAGCGCACCUGCUUUGGGAGCAGGGGGUCGCGGGUUCAAAUCCCGCCGUCCCGA